GACCUCCCGGGAUCGCGUCUGGAGUGUGGCCAGUCUUCUGCCAGCUUCGGAAGCGGGAGGGAAAACAGGGCCGCACAGGCACCGUUCCAUUCCCAGUUUGCUCAGUAGCUGGUGAUUAGAAGACCCUCUGCAACGGUU
Oryctolagus cuniculus (rabbit) is the source of this 138-nucleotide small nucleolar RNA. Lineage: Eukaryota; Metazoa; Chordata; Mammalia; Lagomorpha; Leporidae. The record is from Ensembl.